GGACAGGAGUCGAAGGACUAGAAU
RNAcentral lists this non-coding RNA (24 nucleotides) under Cricetulus griseus (Chinese hamster). Lineage: Eukaryota; Metazoa; Chordata; Mammalia; Rodentia; Cricetidae. The record is from RNAcentral.